GACGAACGCUGGCGGCGUGCUUAACACAUGCAAGUCGAACGGAAAGGCCCUGCUUUUGUGGGGUGCUCGAGUGGCGAACGGGUGAGUAACACGUGAGUAACCUGCCCUUGACUUUGGGAUAACUUCAGGAAACUGGGGCUAAUACCGGAUAGGAGCUCCUGCUGCAUGGUGGGGGUUGGAAAGUUUCGGCGGUUGGGGAUGGACUCGCGGCUUAUCAGCUUGUUGGUGGGGUAGUGGCUUACCAAGGCUUUGACGGGUAGCCGGCCUGAGAGGGUGACCGGCCACAUUGGGACUGAGAUACGGCCCAGACUCCUACGGGAGGCAGCAGUGGGGAGUAUUGCACAAUGGGCGGAAGCCUGAUGCAGCAACGCCGCGUGCGGGAUGACGGCCUUCGGGUUGUAAACCGCAUUCGCCUGUGACGAAGCGUGAGUGACGGUAAUGGGUAAAGAAGCACCGGCUAACUACGUG
Molecule: ribosomal RNA, 468 nt
Filed under: uncultured bacterium
Lineage: Bacteria
Description: partial 16S ribosomal RNA
Rfam family: Bacterial small subunit ribosomal RNA
Source: RNAcentral